UACGUAGGUGGCAAGCGUUGUUCGGAAUUAUUGGGCGUAGAGGGCGCGUAGGCGGCUUUGUAAGUCGGGGGUGAAAGCCUGUGGCUCAACCACAGAAUUGCCUUCGAUACUGUAGAGCUUGAGACCGGAAGAGGUUAGUGGAACUGCGAGUGUAGAGGUGAAAUUCGUAGAUAUUCGCAAGAACACCAGUGGCGAAGGCGGCUGACUGGUCCGGUUCUGACGCUGAGGCGCGAAAGCGUGGGGAGCAAACAGG
Molecule: ribosomal RNA, 253 nt
Filed under: uncultured bacterium
Lineage: Bacteria
Description: partial 16S ribosomal RNA
Rfam family: Bacterial small subunit ribosomal RNA
Source: RNAcentral